CAACACGCCGCUAGAGGGAGCUACAGAGCGCAUGCGUAUCUACGUUUGUGUUUAUAUUUAUGGUUCGCGUUCCAACAGCUGGAAAAUAAUUAAUCUACCGUCUGGCCCGGUGGCAGACAUGGACGGGUCGACGACUCCGGUGCGAGCACAACAUCGAUUCAAUGUGGAAAGACUUCAAAAGUAUCUGUCUGCCAAGUCGUGUGUGUCUAACACCGACACUCUGUCGGUCGGGCAGUUCGUUGCCGGACAGUCCAAUCCUACUUUCCUCAUCCAGACACCUUCCAGGAGUUAUGUGCUCAGAAAGAAGCCUCCCGGUGCGCUGCUCCCGGGAGCUCAUAAGGUGGAUCGUGAAUAUCGGGUCCAAAAGGCCUUGUAUUCCGCUGGUUUCCCUGUGCCUAAGCCCCUUCUGCACUGUACUGAUGAUGAUGUCAUUGGAACAGAGUUCUACCUGAUGGAGCAUGUCACGGGCCGCAUAUUCCGGGACCUCCGUCUGCCUGGAGUGAGCCCAGCAGAGAGAGCAGCUCUGUACGUGGCUGCAGUGGAGACCCUGGCCAAGCUGCACGCACUGGACCUGGGAGCAUUGAAGCUCGACGCCUAUGGCAAAGGAGCGGGCUACUGUCGGAGACAGGUGUCCACUUGGACCAAGCAGUACACCGCGUCUGCUCACAGGGACAUCCCGGCCAUGAAUGAGCUGUCCAAUUGGUUAGUUAGCAAUUUGCCAGCCGACGACGAAGAGGUCACACUCGUCCAUGGAGAUUUCAGAGUGGACAAUUUGAUAUUCCAUCCCACUGAGGCUCGCGUGCUUGCAGUGUUGGACUGGGAGCUGUCCACCACUGGGCAACCUCUCGCAGACCUGGCUUACUUCCUCAUGCCUCACUACUGGUCCCCAGGCCUCACCAAACUGAGCACUAUGGGCAGCCUAAACGGAAUAAAAGGUAUUCCCACAGUGGACAACUUGAUUUCCGUAUAUAGGCGCUGCCGGGGGAUCCUGUCUGCUUUGCCACCGUUGAAUUUUUAUCUGGGUUUAUCUUUCUUCAAGAUGGCAGGAAUAGCUCAGGGAGUCUAUGCACGCCACCUACUGGGCAAUGCCAGCGCUGCCAACGCGGCCGAGUUUGGCCAUUGUGUGGAGCCCCUGGCCGUGUCGGCCCUGCAGCUCAUACAGAGACCUCUGGCUUCUCCGCAGGAAGCCAGGCUGUUUUUGCAGACAACCAAAGGCCAGGAGGUGCUACAGCAGGUGAAGGGCUUCAUGAAGCAAUUUGUGCUUCCCGCUCAGAAGGAAGUUACAGACUACUACAUCCAACAUGCUCACUCCCCGUUAAGGUGGAACACCCCCCAAAUAAUAGAAGACUUAAAGGUAAAAGCCAGGGAGAUGGGGCUGUGGAACCUUUUCCUGCCGGCCGCCAGUGGACUCACUCAGCUGGACUAUGCCUUCAUCGCCGAGGAGACUGGACGCUGCCUCUUUGCCCCGGAAGUUUUUAACUGCCAGGCGCCUGACACGGGAAACAUGGAGGUUCUCCACAUGUUUGGCACGGACGAGCAAAAAAAGAAGUGGUUGGAACCCCUGAUGAGAGGAGAGAUGCGCUCGUGUUUCUGUAUGACAGAGCCUGAUGUGGCCUCGAGCGAUGCAACCAACAUGGAGUGCAGUCUUUACAGGGAGGAAGACAGCUUUGUCAUCAACGGAAAAAAGUGGUGGAGCAGCGGUGCAGGACAUGCGCGUUGCAAAGUGGCCAUUGUCAUGUGCACUACCACCCCAACCAGCACCGCCACCAGACACGGCCUACACAGUAUGAUUUUGGUGCCUUUGGACACUGCUGGUGUCAAGCUGGUCAGGCCACUCACUGUCUUCGGACAGGACGAUGCCAUCCAUGGCGGACACUUUGAGGUUCACUUUGAAAACGUGCGUGUCCCCGCCUCAAACAUCAUUCUAGGCGAGGGCCGAGGUUUUGAGAUAGCUCAAGCUCGUCUGGGAGCGGGUCGGCUGCAUCACUGCAUGAGAGCUGUGGGUAUGGCCGAGCUGGCACUGGAGCUGCUGUGCCUGCGCGCCGCCUCCAGGAGAACCUUUGGCAAGAAACUGUACCAACAUGAGGUGGUGGCUCACUGGAUAGCGGAAUGCCGCCUCAUGAUCGAGCAGAGCCGCCUGCUGACGCUUAGUGCUGCACACGCUCUCGACACGCUGGGAGGACGUGCCGCUCGCAAACAGAUAGCGCUGGUAAAGGUGGCAGCAGCCAGGAUGGCGUGCAAAGUGCUGGACUGUGCGAUACAAGUGCACGGAGGGGCGGGUGUGUCUGGAGACUUCCCCCUGGCUCACAUGUACGCCUAUGCUAGGACUUUACGCAUUGCCGAUGGACCGGAUGAGGUGCACCUGUCCACCGUUGCUGGUCUGGAACUGAGGGAUCAACUGGCCAAGGCAAAACUGUGACAUUAUCACGCUUUCCGGGUGGCUGGUCCCAGACGAUCAUGGAGGUGCACCUGCGUGAUGUGGAGGUCUUGGGCUGGUGUGGUUACACGUGGUCUGCGGUUGUGAGGGCGGUUCGAUGUCCUGCCAAAUUCUCUGAAAAGCCUUUGGAGACGGCUAACGGACACGAGGAACACAUUUUUAUGGAUUUCUACCUUCUGGUCUUCUGUCUUUAUCCACUUGCUCCUGAUUGCUUCUUCCCUGACUCCAUCUCAUCUUGGGACUGGCUUGAAUGCAGGCUGCUCUUAAAGAACCACAACAGGAAAAAUAAACAAGUAAUUUACUUUAGAUUAAAAAAAUAAUAAAAAUUAAAUAAUGUAAUAUAACUGAAAACAAAUUCCCUUUAUUCUCACCUUAAUUUGUAUCAGGCUUAGGGUUGCAAAAUCUCGGGAAUAUUCAAAGUUGGAAAUGUUCCAUGGGAAUUAACAGGAAUUAAUGGGAAUAAACAUUGAAUGCAACAUGCUA
This is an RNA transcript of Nerophis ophidion (straightnose pipefish), 2920 nucleotides long. It is a transcript of the gene named acyl-CoA dehydrogenase family, member 11, with no coding region annotated. NCBI's taxonomy places the organism in Eukaryota, Metazoa, Chordata, Actinopteri, Syngnathiformes, Syngnathidae. The transcript is spliced from 22 exons. The record is from RefSeq and is a predicted model, not a curated record.